Molecule: transfer RNA, 73 nt
Filed under: Actinomycetota bacterium
Lineage: Bacteria; Bacillati; Actinomycetota
Description: Actinobacteria bacterium tRNA-Arg
Rfam family: tRNA
About the family: Transfer RNA (tRNA) molecules are approximately 80 nucleotides in length. Their secondary structure includes four short double-helical elements and three loops (D, anti-codon, and T loops).
Source: RNAcentral
GUCCUCGUGGCCUAGAGGAUGGGCACCAGCUUCCGAAGCUGGCCUGACGGGGGUUCGAAUCCCUCCGAGGACG